UGGGUUUGUCCUAAGCCAAACUUCUCCAUGUUUGACAAACUUAAUAGAAAAGUUCAGCAGCAUUUCCAACACAAAACAAAUAUAAUAUAAAAAUAUAUUCAAUGGACUUAAUGAAACUAAUUAGAUGCUGUAGAUGUUGCUAUGUUUUUCUAUAAGCUUGGUCAAACUUGAAGAAGUUUGACUUAGGACAAACCCAA
Molecule: microRNA precursor, 197 nt
Organism: Oryza sativa Indica Group (long-grained rice)
Lineage: Eukaryota; Viridiplantae; Streptophyta; Magnoliopsida; Poales; Poaceae
Rfam family: MIR1435 microRNA precursor family
Source: Rfam